Molecule: long non-coding RNA, 590 nt
Filed under: Physcomitrium patens
Lineage: Eukaryota; Viridiplantae; Streptophyta; Bryopsida; Funariales; Funariaceae
Description: long non-coding RNA (PPAT_LNC012252)
Source: RNAcentral
CUAUCCAGCGCGCCCAACAGCAAAAGCUGUAUCACGCAUUUCGUCCUCACGUCCUGCAGAAACGGACUCUCUGCUUCGCUCCCGUCGGGGCCAAGCUCCAUCACAUCCACAUCCUGCACACCCAACGUUCGUCUUGUCAGACAACCCCACGCUCAACCAUGGAUCCUUCCCUCACAAAACCUCCUCUUCCCCUAACGCCUCCAACUACUCAGGGGACGCUGUCCACGCUACGCCUCCCGCCGCCACGCUUCUCGACACGUCCUUUGCAUACCCCAAUCUCUAUACUUUCCGACACCACAUAUGCACCUCCCUCACCACCUCCACAACCCCGGUAACCCUACACCACACUUCACACACCACACUGCACCAGGUUCUGCUCAACCACCACAUUACCUGCAAAGAACUUUGCACACCAACAUCUGUGGGUUUGCUCUUCGCACUCCUGAAUGACGUGUUCCUCAUCAGCAGUGUGUCCAUCACAUUGCUCAUGAAAGUCCGCCCACUCGCCAGAUUCGCUGCCUUGGCGUCCCUCGGAGAAGCCACCGAACCUGGUGCUUCAAAACCUGCACAGCACCACGCUUCCCAUUCAU